Molecule: ribosomal RNA, 497 nt
Filed under: uncultured bacterium
Lineage: Bacteria
Description: partial 16S ribosomal RNA
Rfam family: Bacterial small subunit ribosomal RNA
Source: RNAcentral
GAUGAACGCUGGCGGCGUGCCUAAUACAUGCCAGUCGAGCGAACGGACGAGAAGCUUGCUUCUCUGAUGUUAGCGGCGGACGGGUGAGUAACACGUGGAUAACCUACCUAUAAGACUGGGAUAACUUCGGGAAACCGGAGCUAAUACCGGAUAAUAUUUUGAACCGCAUGGUUCAAAAGUGAAAGACGGUCUUGCUGUCACUUAUAGAUGGAUCCGCGCUGCAUUAGCUAGUUGGUAAGGUAACGGCUUACCAAGGCAACGAUGCAUAGCCGACCUGAGAGGGUGAUCGGCCACACUGGAACUGAGACACGGUCCAGACUCCUACGGGAGGCAGCAGUAGGGAAUCUUCCUCAAUGGGCGAAAGCCUGACGGAGCAACGCCGCGUGAGUGAUGAAGGUCUUCGGAUCGUAAAACUCUGUUAUUAGGGAAGAACAUAUGUGUAAGUAACUGUGCACAUCUUGACGGUACCUAAUCAGAAAGCCACGGCUAACUACGUG